This 482-nucleotide ribosomal RNA is filed under the name Alectoris philbyi (Philby's partridge). RNAcentral's name for it is "partial 16S ribosomal RNA". It matches the Rfam family "Bacterial large subunit ribosomal RNA", at positions 1923 to 2568 of the family's 2925-position model. Lineage: Eukaryota; Metazoa; Chordata; Aves; Galliformes; Phasianidae. The record is from RNAcentral.
UUCAACGGCCGCGGUAUCCUAACCGUGCGAAGGUAGCGCAAUCAAUUGUCUCAUAAAUUGGGACCUGUAUGAAUGGCUAAACGAGGUCUUUACUGUCUCUUGCAGACAAUCAGUGAAAUUAGUGUCCUCGUGCAAAAACGAGAAUGUGACCAUAAGACGAGAAGACCCUGUGGAACUUUAAAAUAACAACCACCCUCCCACCAGCCUCUCCCCCAAAAGGGCCCACCUAUGUAAAACAUCUGGUUGACAUUUUUCGGUUGGGGCGACCUUGGAGAAAAACAAAUCCUCCAAACCCUAGACCACACCUCUUUACCAAGAACCACCCCUCAAAGUACUAAUAGUAAUUAGACCCAAUACAAUUGACCAAUGGACCAAGCUACCCCAGGGAUAACAGCGCAAUCUCCUCCAAGAGCCCCUAUCGACAAGGAGGUUUACGACCUCGAUGUUGGAUCAGGACACCCUAAUGGUGCAGCCGCUAUUAA